UACAGAGAGUGCAAGCGUUAAUCGGAAUUACUGGGCGUAAAGCGCGCGUAGGUGGAUGUCUAAGUCGGAUGUGAAAGCCCUGGGCUUAACCUAGGAAUUGCACCCGAUACUAUUCAUCUUGAGUAUGGUAGAGGUAAGUGGAAUUUCCGGUGUAGCGGUGAAAUGCGUAGAUAUCGGAAGGAACACCAGUGGCGAAGGCGGCUUACUGGACCAAUACUGACACUGAGGCGCGAAAGCGUGGGGAGCAAAC
Molecule: ribosomal RNA, 250 nt
Filed under: uncultured bacterium
Lineage: Bacteria
Description: partial 16S ribosomal RNA
Rfam family: Bacterial small subunit ribosomal RNA
Source: RNAcentral